RNAcentral lists this ribosomal RNA (446 nucleotides) under uncultured bacterium. RNAcentral describes it as "bacterial SSU rRNA". It matches the Rfam family "Bacterial small subunit ribosomal RNA", at positions 339 to 796 of the family's 1533-position model. The record is from RNAcentral.
CUACGGGAGGCAGCAGUGGGGAAUAUUGCGCAAUGGGCGAAAGCCUGACGCAGCGACGCCGCGUGAGGGACGAAGGUCUUCGGAUUGUAAACCUCUUUCAGCAGGGACGAAGCGAAAGUGACUGUACCUGCAGAAGAAGCACCGGCUAACUACGUGCCAGCAGCCGCGGUAAUACGUAGGGUGCAAGCGUUGUCCGGAUUUAUUGGGCGUAAAGAGCUCGUAGGCGGUUUGUCGCGUCGGAUGUGAAAACCCAAUGGCUUAACCUUGGGCCUGCAUUCGAUACGGGCAGACUAGGGUGUGGUAGGGGAGACUGGAACUCCUGGUGUAGCGGUGGAAUGCGCAGAUAUCAGGAAGAACACCGAUGGCGAAGGCAGGUCUCUGGGCCACAACUGACGCUGAGGAGCGAAAGCGUGGGGAGCGAACAGGAUUAGAUACCCUAGUAGUCC